AAUACGUAGGACCCAAGCGUUAUCCGGAUUCACUGGGUGUAAAGGGUGUGUAGGCGGGCGUGCGCGUCUGGGGUGAAAGGUUCCGGCUCAACCGGAAACAUGCCUUGGAUACGGCACGUCUUGGGUGCGGGAGAGGACGGUGGAAUUCCUGGUGUAGCGGUGAAAUGCGUAGAUAUCAGGAGGAACACCAGUGGCGAAGGCGGCCGUCUGGCCCGCAACCGACGCUGAAACACGAAAGCGUGGGGAUCAAACAGGAUUAGAUACCCUGGUAGUCCACGCCCUAAACGAUGCAUGCUUGGUGUCGGCGCCUUGCGCGUCGGUGCCGUAGGUAACCCGGUAAGCAUGCCACCCGGGAAGUACGGUCGCAAGGCU
This 372-nucleotide ribosomal RNA is filed under the name uncultured Chlorobiota bacterium. RNAcentral's name for it is "bacterial SSU rRNA". It matches the Rfam family "Bacterial small subunit ribosomal RNA", at positions 522 to 895 of the family's 1533-position model. Lineage: Bacteria; Pseudomonadati; Chlorobiota. The record is from RNAcentral.